This 600-nucleotide ribosomal RNA is filed under the name uncultured bacterium. Its description in RNAcentral is "bacterial SSU rRNA". It matches the Rfam family "Bacterial small subunit ribosomal RNA", at positions 740 to 1344 of the family's 1533-position model. The record is from RNAcentral.
CUGACGCUAAAGCUCGAAGGUGCGGGUAUCGAACAGGAUUAGAUACCCUGGUAGUCCGCACGGUAAACGAUGGAUGCCCGCUGUUGGCGAUAUAGUGUCAGCGGCCAAGCGAAAGCGUUAAGCAUCCCACCUGGGGAGUACGCCGGCAACGGUGAAACUCAAAGGAAUUGACGGGGGCCCGCACAAGCGGAGGAACAUGUGGUUUAAUUCGAUGAUACGCGAGGAACCUUACCCGGGCUUGAACUGCCAGCGGACGAUACAGAGAUGUUGAGGCCCUUCGGGGCGCUGGUGGAGGUGCUGCAUGGUUGUCGUCAGCUCGUGCCGUGAGGUGUCGGCUUAAGUGCCAUAACGAGCGCAACCCCUUUCGUCAGUUGCCAUCAGGUAGAGCUGGGCACUCUGGCGACACUGCCACCGUAAGGUGUGAGGAAGGUGGGGAUGACGUCAAAUCAGCACGGCCCUUACGUCCGGGGCUACACACGUGUUACAAUGGGAGGUACAGAGAGCCGGCCGCCUGCAAAAGCGGUCCAAUCAAGAAAGCCUUCCUCAGUUCGGAUUGGGGUCUGCAACCCGACCCCAUGAAGCUGGAUUCGCUAGUAAUCG